Small nucleolar RNA from Phacochoerus africanus (Common warthog), 72 nucleotides. RefSeq annotates it as small nucleolar RNA SNORD113/SNORD114 family. The transcript has a single exon. Lineage: Eukaryota; Metazoa; Chordata; Mammalia; Artiodactyla; Suidae. The record is from RefSeq and is a predicted model, not a curated record.
UGGAUUAAUGAUGACUACCGGUGGCAUAUGAGACAUGCAUGAUGAAUAUGGGUCUCCAACUCUGAGGUCGAA